This 724-nucleotide ribosomal RNA is filed under the name uncultured Pseudomonadales bacterium. Its description in RNAcentral is "bacterial SSU rRNA". It matches the Rfam family "Bacterial small subunit ribosomal RNA", at positions 61 to 780 of the family's 1533-position model. The record is from RNAcentral. Lineage: Bacteria; Pseudomonadati; Pseudomonadota; Gammaproteobacteria; Pseudomonadales.
GUCGAGCGGAUGAGAAGAGCUUGCUCUUCGAUUCAGCGGCGGACGGGUGAGUAAUGCCUAGGAAUCUGCCUGGUAGUGGGGGACAACGUUUCGAAAGGAACGCUAAUACCGCAUACGUCCUACGGGAGAAAGCAGGGGACCUUCGGGCCUUGCGCUAUCAGAUGAGCCUAGGUCGGAUUAGCUAGUUGGUGAGGUAAUGGCUCACCAAGGCGACGAUCCGUAACUGGUCUGAGAGGAUGAUCAGUCACACUGGAACUGAGACACGGUCCAGACUCCUACGGGAGGCAGCAGUGGGGAAUAUUGGACAAUGGGCGAAAGCCUGAUCCAGCCAUGCCGCGUGUGUGAAGAAGGUCUUCGGAUUGUAAAGCACUUUAAGUUGGGAGGAAGGGCAUUAACCUAAUACGUUAGUGUUUUGACGUUACCGACAGAAUAAGCACCGGCUAACUCUGUGCCAGCAGCCGCGGUAAUACAGAGGGUGCAAGCGUUAAUCGGAAUUACUGGGCGUAAAGCGCGCGUAGGUGGUUUGUUAAGUUGGAUGUGAAAGCCCCGGGCUCAACCUGGGAACUGCAUCCAAAACUGGCAAGCUAGAGUACGGUAGAGGGUGGUGGAAUUUCCUGUGUAGCGGUGAAAUGCGUAGAUAUAGGAAGGAACACCAGUGGCGAAGGCGACCACCUGGACUGAUACUGACACUGAGGUGCGAAAGCGUGGGGAGCAAACAGGAUUA